Long non-coding RNA from Ailuropoda melanoleuca (giant panda), 366 nucleotides. RefSeq lists it as uncharacterized. NCBI's taxonomy places the organism in Eukaryota, Metazoa, Chordata, Mammalia, Carnivora, Ursidae. The transcript has 4 exons. The record is from RefSeq and is a predicted model, not a curated record.
UGAGGCUGUGCUCCGGGUAAGUGUGAGGGGGCCUAGAUCCUGAAAGAGCCAGGAAGUACGCUCUGGAGAAGACAGGAUCCCUCUGGGCUCCACAUCAGCUGCCUCAGAGACUGCUCCAAGCCAACAAGACCCAGGAACGGAGAGUCAGAAGAAAAGGGCGUGCAUGGAAGGGAAGGCAGCUCCACGGAAUAGGAGCCCUCUGGCCUCCAGUUCUGACUCUUCAGAGGCUGUCCCUAAGCAGAGACCCAGGAGAAUGAGAGGCCGGAAGAGGAGGAAAUUGAUGGAUGUCAAGGCAGCUGCCCAGGAGAGCAGCGUCCCAGCCUCCAACUCCACCACCUCAGAAGCUAUCUCUGAGCUGAGGUCCUG